GAACGGUCUGGAAAGUCCGGCGAUACAGGGUGAUAGCCCCGUACACGAAAGCACACAUGCUGUGAACUCGAAGAGUAGGGCGGGACACGUGGUAUCCUGUCUGAAUAUGGGGGGACCAUCCUCCAAGGCUAAAUACUCCUGACUGACCGAUAGUGAACCAGUACCGUGAGGGAAAGGCGAAAAGAACCCCGGCGAGGGGAGUGAAAAAGAACCUGAAACCGUGUACGUACAAGCAGUGGGAGCCUCUUUAUGGGGUGACUGCGUACCUUUUGUAUAAUGGGUCAGCGACUUAUAUUCUGUAGCAAGGUUAACCGUAUAGGGGAGCCGAAGGGAAACCGAGUCUUAACUGGGCGUUAAGUUGCAGGGUAUAGACCCGAAACCCGGUGAUCUAGCCAUGGGCAGGUUGAAGGUUGGGUAACACUAACUGGAGGACCGAACCGACUAAUGUUGAAAAAUUAGCGGAUGACCUGUGGCUGGGGGUGAAAGGCCAAUCAAACCGGGAGAUAGCUGGUUCUCCCCGAAAGCU
Molecule: ribosomal RNA, 526 nt
Filed under: Enterobacter hormaechei
Lineage: Bacteria; Pseudomonadati; Pseudomonadota; Gammaproteobacteria; Enterobacterales; Enterobacteriaceae
Description: partial 23S ribosomal RNA
Rfam family: Bacterial large subunit ribosomal RNA
Source: RNAcentral